GAUGAACGCUGGCGGCGUGCCUAAUACAUGCAAGUCGAGCGAACAGAUGAGGAGCUUGCUCCUCUGACGUUAGCGGCGGACGGGUGAGUAACACGUGGAUAACCUACCUAUAAGACUGGGAUAACUUCGGGAAACCGGAGCUAAUACCGGAUAAUAUAUUGAACCGCAUGGUUCAAUAGUGAAAGACGGUUUUGCUGUCACUUAUAGAUGGAUCCGCGCCGCAUUAGCUAGUUGGUAAGGUAACGGCUUACCAAGGCAACGAUGCGUAGCCGACCUGAGAGGGUGAUCGGCCACACUGGAACUGAGACACGGUCCAGACUCCUACGGGAAGCAGCAGUAGGGAAUCUUCCGCAAUGGGCGAAAGCUUGACGGAGCAACGCCGCGUGAGUGAUGAAGGUCUUCGGAUCGUAAAACUCUGUUAUUAGGGAAGAACAAAUGUGUAAGUAACUAUGCACGUCUUGACGGUACCUAAUCAGAAAGCCACGGCUAACUACGUG
This 497-nucleotide ribosomal RNA is filed under the name uncultured bacterium. RNAcentral describes it as "partial 16S ribosomal RNA". It matches the Rfam family "Bacterial small subunit ribosomal RNA", at positions 28 to 507 of the family's 1533-position model. The record is from RNAcentral.